AAACCCAAUGUGCAUAUUUGUAUGAGAAUAUUACUGACUAAUCAUCAACCUAUCCGAAAGCUGUAAGCGUGACACAAUAGCAGCGUUACCCAUUGUUAGUUUUCUCUCUCUACAUACCAUCAUAUCACUGUGUUUUCUGUGACAAGUUUGCUGAGACAGUUUAACUAUAACGUGCGAAGGAUUUCUAUUUUUAGUGAAUAUCUGUACAAGAUGCAACGUAGAAAUAGAAGUGCCUAGACGCUGGUGACAAAUAGUGAAGAUGUCUGACACCAAGCUGUUCUACGUGGUCAAAUCACAAGACGCAGAAAAGGCGAGACUUUGCAGCACUAGUGACGACGACGAUGGUGAAAACAUCGAGUAUGACGCCUGCAGGAUCAAGUGGAUGUUACAAAACGCUGAUGUGAAUAUAAGGAGCGUGAUGUGUGGUGGUGUGGUGUGGUGGCGGCGGCAGGAGUGUGUGUUGCUGGGGGCGUUACCGUCUGCUAUACCCUGACACGAGGCUCCUGCUGGUGUUGACGGCUCCUGGAAGCGCUGACGGUGCUGCUGGCUAUACCUCCUGCCUUGCUAUAAGUUAUGGCGGCACUCUCGGUAGAUAAGGUGCUGGUUGGGAUACUACCAGUCCUUCGGGGGAUGCUGUUAUAGGGUGGUGGUGGGUGCUCCUGGUAGAUGGGUAGCUACUAGCGGUGCUCCUGGUAGAUGUGCAGCUAGUAGUGGUGCUCCUGGUAGAUAGGUAGCUACUAGCGGUGCUCCUGGUAGAUGGGUAGCUACUAGUGGUGCUCCUCGUAGAUGGGUAGCUACUAGUGGUGCUCCUGGUAGAUGGGUAGCUACUAGUGGUGCUCCUGGUAGAUGGGUAGCUACUAGUGGUGCUCCUGGUAGAUGGGUAGCUACUA
This is a long non-coding RNA of Homarus americanus (American lobster), 890 nucleotides long. RefSeq lists it as uncharacterized. The transcript is spliced from 3 exons. NCBI's taxonomy places the organism in Eukaryota, Metazoa, Arthropoda, Malacostraca, Decapoda, Nephropidae. The record is from RefSeq and is a predicted model, not a curated record.